UUUUCUGGUUCCUUUUGUCUGCAGGAAGAGGUGCUUUCUCUCUCUGAGGGACUGGGGGCAGGAGAGAGGGAUGUACGGAAGAGGGCAGGAGAGGGGGAUGUGGAGAUGAGUGCAGUCAGGCCAGCGGUGGUAGUGCACCCCAGGGAGCUGAAGGGCCUCCUUCACAUCUGCACUGUCAUCGCUCAAGGUACUGAGCUGCUGUCUGAGGGGCGGUGUUCAGAGGCCCUGACUGUUCUUCAGAGAGACCCCUCCCCCUUGGCCCCAAGAGACCUGCUGGCCCAGAUACACACCCUCAUACGCCUCUGCCUCAGUGGCAAGGUACACACUCACACACACCUCACAAGCAUCUCAGAUGCAUGGUGAGAGAGAGGGCGAUGACCAAUGGUGUGUGUGCGUGUGUUUAUGUGUAGGGUCAUCCCGUCAGUGCUGUGUUAUAGGAAGGCUUUGGAGACAGACAUGGGGUGUGUGUGUGCACUGCACCAGAGCCUCCUGGUUAACAGACAGCAGGGAAACACGCAAGCAGAGAUCCAGGCUCUACACCUGAUACACUCAGUGAGUAACACACAGACACACACACACACACACACACACAGAAUAAAGGCAUCUGUCUGAUGCUGCAGUUGACUGAGGUGUGAGGGAUCUUGUCUCUGUACCAGGCUCUGUACAUGCCACCUGCCACUCAGCCUGCUGUGGCCCCACCUCCUCUCGUCUGCCCCGCCUCUCUGCUCCCUGGCCAAUCCUUGUCCAGCCUGCUUUCAGUCCCCUCCCACCUCAGCAUACUACACAGUCUGACUCAAAAGUGUGUACUCCACGGAAGGCAAGUUCCCAGACAGCCGACGUUGAAUAUUUUUUUCUCUAUAAAG
Molecule: long non-coding RNA, 863 nt
Filed under: Oncorhynchus kisutch (coho salmon)
Lineage: Eukaryota; Metazoa; Chordata; Actinopteri; Salmoniformes; Salmonidae
Description: lncRNA (ENSOKIG00005049615.1)
Source: RNAcentral